RNAcentral lists this ribosomal RNA (459 nucleotides) under uncultured bacterium. Its description in RNAcentral is "partial 16S ribosomal RNA". It matches the Rfam family "Bacterial small subunit ribosomal RNA", at positions 338 to 795 of the family's 1533-position model. The record is from RNAcentral.
CCUACGGGUGGCAGCAGUGAGGAAUAUUGGUCAAUGGACGCGAGCCUGAACCAGCCAAGUCGCGUGAAGGAAGACGGUCCUAUGAGUUGUAAACCUCUUUUGUCGGGGGGCAAAAGACGCCACGCGUAUCUUUCCGAGAGUACCCUACGAACAAGCAUCGGCUAACUCCGUGCCAGCAGCCGCGGUAAUACGGAGGAUUCGAGCGUUAUCCGGAUUUAUUGGGUUUAAAGGGUGCGCAGGCGGAAGAUCAAGUCAGCGGUAAAAUUGAGAGGCUCAAUCUCUUAGAGCCGUUGAAACUGGUGGGCUUGAGUGAGGGAGAGGUAGGCGGAAUGCGUGGUGUAGCGGUGAAAUGCAUAGAGAUCACGCAGAACUCCGAUUGCGAAGGCAGCAUACCGGGGUUCAACUGACGCUCAUGCACGAAAGUGUGGGUAUCGAACAGGAUUAGAUACCCUGGUAGUC